This 403-nucleotide ribosomal RNA is filed under the name uncultured bacterium. Its description in RNAcentral is "partial 16S ribosomal RNA". It matches the Rfam family "Bacterial small subunit ribosomal RNA", at positions 28 to 526 of the family's 1533-position model. The record is from RNAcentral.
GACGAACGCUGGCGGCGUGCCUAAUACAUGCAAGUCGAACGCAGUGGGGACGGGUGAGUAACACGUGGGUAACCUCCCAUCAGAGGGGAUAACACUUGGAAACAGGUGCUAAACCGAUACUGAUGGAUGGACCCGCGGUGCAUUAGCUAGUUGGUGAGGUAACGGCUCACCAAGGCCACGAUGCAUAGCCGACCUGGAAGGGGGAACGGCCACGAUGGGACGGGGAGACGGCAGAGGGGACUACGGGAGGCAGGAGGAGGGAAUGUUCGGCAAUGGACGAAAGUCUGAACGAGGAACGCCGAGGGAGAGAAGACGGUCUUCGGAUAGUAAACUGCUGUAGACAGGGACGCGGUACCUGUAGAAUAAGCCACGGCUAACUACGUGCCAGCAGCCGCGGUAAUAC